CUAAGAAAAGCAUAUUUCCCCUCUUCAGCUAUGGUGUCAGUAGCUCAUUCACUAAGAUAUUAAACCAGACAACAAAUGGUAUCACAACAUCUGAGCCAAAGCUUAUUUUCAGAGCACAGAAGCUGCUGUGCCUGUGUGAAGUAUCUUUGCUGGAUCAGGGCUCUUGUUCCUUUUAACUUCAGUUCAGUUACCUGAGACCUCAGCUCAUUCUCAGUCACUGUGUCCUGCCACAAUACUAAAAUUUUCAUAUUGGUCUUCAUAAUUGUUCAAAUCCUUUCAAAGUCUUACCUCUUACAUACCAGCCAGAAAACAUCUUUCCUUUCAUCUUAAACCAGACUAAGCAGUAAGCCUUUUUAAUUCUUGUUUUUCAGGAUGAAUUCCUGGUGAGUGAAACAAAAUAAGGAGAGGGGCAUAGGUUCAGUUCUUCCUAGUACCACACUUCCUCACUGGAGGUAAAGCUGUGUAGCUCCUGGGGUGGCCAGGAAGAGAAGGCAGGAACUCUGCCUUACAGGGAUGUAACUCUGAUCCAUCUCCCUUCCUUCCCCCUAACACCAACCCGGUGAGGAGCAGAGUCCUGGAGUGGUAUUUCCACCACUCUUGGCUGUAGCAUUCUGGCCCGUGGAGAGAGUGUUCCAUGUCCACUUUACUGCACCUCUGCAAAUGUCAUGCUACCCUUAAACCUUCCUGUCACACUGUGCCCCAAGAAAUUACCCUACCACCAAGCCAGAGUCAAUCUCGCCAUCCCUCUGGAUUCCUGUCUGUAGUUUGGGCCUGUCAUAUUGACACAAGAUAUCCACAGAUCUCUCUUCCUUCAAAUCAACCAGGCACAGGGGUCCUGCCUGUCUGGGAGCUGGAGGAGCGAAGGGCUGGAUGCCAAGUGACUGGACUCCAGCUGGGGACUUGAGGAAACUCCACUGCCUGAGCAGCCACCUCAUGGCCUUCAAAAAUAAGAAACUAGAGUUGACUUUGAGAAGAAAGCAAAGAAUUAAGUUGUACUUCUGAGACACUUGGACUGAACCCAGCCAGGCAGGAGAAGCACGUACCAGAAUUAUCAGCCAUAAGUACAACGGGAACAAGAAGUUUGGAUGAUGAACAAGGAAUGGAUGUAGGAGC
Parus major (Great Tit) is the source of this 1113-nucleotide long non-coding RNA. RefSeq lists it as uncharacterized. The record is from RefSeq and is a predicted model, not a curated record. The transcript has 3 exons. NCBI's taxonomy places the organism in Eukaryota, Metazoa, Chordata, Aves, Passeriformes, Paridae.